This 1146-nucleotide long non-coding RNA is filed under the name Homo sapiens (human). RNAcentral's name for it is "HSALNT0270525". The record is from RNAcentral. Lineage: Eukaryota; Metazoa; Chordata; Mammalia; Primates; Hominidae.
GGGCCGUGAAAUAAGGCCCGACGGGCCCCGGGGCGCGUGCGCGGACCGACACUGUCAGCUCCUAACGCCGCAGGUUCCUCCUGGUCCCCGAGGCCCCCGGUCGGGCGUUGCCUGCCCCGCGCGGGCGGCCGGGCCGAGGGACGAUGGUCAGUGGACGGACGGCGCCAGGGAGCAGUGCCCACGCGCGGCAGGGCGGUACCUUCAGGCCUCCAGGACUGGCUCUCCUGACCUCUCCAGGUGUCAUCGAACACCCUUGUGCUUGCUGUCACCCGCUGCCUGUCUGCAGGAUCCCGGAUUCCGUAUCAGGGGACCGAAAUUAGUCGGAAAAUAGGAAGCAGGUGCUCGCUUGGAUGGAACCCUGACCCUGUGCUCACACUUGUAGGAGGAGGGCUCUGCAGGCCGCCUCCCGGAACGGGAGGUUCCCAAGCCACUGCACUUCGGAGGGGCUGUAAUUAGAGUUGCACAUUCAUUCAGUUCCCAGUAAAGUAGAACGUGCUCCAGCCAGUGAGGAAAAGGUGUUUUUAAAAAUUAGAUUGGCCGAGUGCGGUGGCUCAUGCCUUUUACCUCAACACUUUGGGAGACAAAGGUGGGAGGAUCACCUGUGGCCAGGAGUUCAAGACCAGCCUGGGCAACAGAGCCUGUCUCUGGGGAAGAAUAAAAAAAAAAAUUGAGCCUUUGUCAGUGCUACUAUUUUAUUAUCUGGUAAAUAUGAGAGGGUUCACGCGGUCUAUGUGUGUCAUUUAUCUGAGUUUGCCUAUCGUCACGUUUUGGAAAUAAAUGUCAAUAAAGUCGAAGAGGAGUGCUGAGGGGGGCCUGGGGAUGGGAGGGUGGCUACAUCAUGCCUGUGUGUUGCGCAAGCCCACCGAGGUCGGCCUGGGGUGAGCCCUGGGGCCUGUUCUGCCUCCUUCACUCUGGGGCUCCAAGAGACAAACUGGGCAACAAGAGAGAAACUCCAUCUAAAAAAAAAGAAAAAUCACCUCCAAGAUAACUUAGCUUUCUUCUGCUGGCAUAACAAAUUAUCUCAAACUUAGUCGCUUAAAAAUGCAAAUUUAGGCUGAGUGCGGAGGCUCACGCCCAUAAUCCUAGCACUUUGGGAGGCCAAGGCAGGAUUGCUUGAGGCCAGGAGUUCGAGACCAACAUGGCCAG